RNAcentral lists this ribosomal RNA (406 nucleotides) under uncultured bacterium. RNAcentral's name for it is "partial 16S ribosomal RNA". It matches the Rfam family "Bacterial small subunit ribosomal RNA", at positions 30 to 526 of the family's 1533-position model. The record is from RNAcentral.
AUCGAACGCUGGCGGCAGGCCUAACACAUGCAAGUCGAACGAGUGGCGGACGGGUGAGUAAUGUCUGGGAUACUGCCUGAUGGAGGGGGAUAACUACUGGAAACGGUAGCUAAUACCGCAUACCAUCAGAUGUGCCCAGCUGGGAUUAGCUUGUUGGUGGGGUAACGGCUCACCAGGGCGACGAUCCCUAGCUGGUCUGAGAGGAUGACCGGCCGAACUGGAACUGAGACACGGUCCAGACGCCUACGGGAGGCAGCAGUGGGGAAUAUUGCGCAAUAGGCGCAAGCCUGAUGCAGCGAUGCCGCGUGUAUGAAGAAGGCCUUCGGGUUGGAAAGUACUUUCGGCGGGGAGGCGUUACCCGCAGAAGAAGCACCGGCUAACUCCGUGCCAGCAGCCGCGGUAAUAC